ACAGAGGGGGCAAGCGUUGCUAGGAAUCACUGGGCGUAAAGGGCGCGUAGGCGGGUCCGCAAGUCGAUCGUGAAAUCCUUCGGCUCAACUGAAGGGGGUCGGUCGAUACUGCGGGUCUUGAGGGAUGCAGAGGAGACUGGAAUUCCCGGUGUAGCGGUGAAAUGUGUAGAGAUCGGGAGGAACACCGGUGGCGAAGGCGGGUUGCUGGGCUGACACUGACGCUGAUGCGCGAAAGCUAGGGGAGCGAACGGGA
RNAcentral lists this ribosomal RNA (253 nucleotides) under uncultured prokaryote. RNAcentral's name for it is "partial 16S ribosomal RNA". It matches the Rfam family "Bacterial small subunit ribosomal RNA", at positions 525 to 777 of the family's 1533-position model. The record is from RNAcentral.